AGAUUUAACGAAAGUGGCGAACGGGUGAGUAACACGUGAGCAACCUGCCUUACACAGGGGAUAGCCAUUGGAAACGGUGAUUAAUACCCCAUAAGACCACAAUACCGCAUGGUAAAAGGGUAAAAGGGAUACCGGUGUAAGAUGGGCUCGCGUCUGAUUAGCUAGUUGGUGGGGUAAAGGCCUACCAAGGCGACGAUCAGUAGCCGGUCUGAGAGGAUGAACGGCCACAUUGGAACUGAGACACGGUCCAAACUCCUACGGGAGGCAGCAGGG
Molecule: ribosomal RNA, 273 nt
Filed under: uncultured Parvimonas sp.
Lineage: Bacteria; Bacillati; Bacillota; Tissierellia; Tissierellales; Peptoniphilaceae
Description: partial 16S ribosomal RNA
Rfam family: Bacterial small subunit ribosomal RNA
Source: RNAcentral